This 432-nucleotide ribosomal RNA is filed under the name uncultured archaeon. RNAcentral describes it as "bacterial SSU rRNA". It matches the Rfam family "Archaeal small subunit ribosomal RNA", at positions 474 to 903 of the family's 1478-position model. The record is from RNAcentral.
UACCAGCUCUCCGAGUGGUAGGGAUGAUUAUUGGGCUUAAAGCGUCCGUAGCCGGCUUAGCAAGUCUCCUGUUAAAUUCAGCGACCUAAUCGUUGAGCCGCGGGAGAUACUGCUAGGCUAGGAGGCGGGAGAGGUCAACGGUACUUCCGGGGUAGGGGUGAAAUCCUAUAAUCCCGGGGAGGACCACCAGUGGCGAAGGCUGUUGACUAGAACGCGCUCGACGGUGAGGGACGAAAGCUGGGGGAGCGAACCGGAUUAGAUACCCGGGUAGUCCCAGCUGUAAACGAUGCGAGCUAGGUGUUGGGGUGGCUACGUGCCACUUCAGUGCCGCAGGGAAGCCAUUAAGCUCGCCGCCUGGGGAGUACGGCCGCAAGGCUGAAAACUUAAAGGAAUUGGCGGGGGAGCGACCACAAGGCGUGAAGCUUGCGGUUC